GCAAGUCGAGGGGUAAAAGGUAGCUUUCUAUGCUGACGACCGGCACACGGGUAAGUAACGCGUAUACAAUCUGCCUUUUACUGAGGGAUAGCCCAGAGAAAUUUGGAUUAAUACCUCAUAGCAUAUAGACCUCACCUGAUGAUUAUAUUAAAGGUUACGGUACAAGAUGAGUAUGCGUUCUAUUAGCUAGAUGGUAAGGUAACGGCUUACCAUGGCAACGAUAGAUAGGGGCCCUGAGAGGGGGAUC
This 247-nucleotide ribosomal RNA is filed under the name uncultured bacterium. RNAcentral describes it as "partial 16S ribosomal RNA". It matches the Rfam family "Bacterial small subunit ribosomal RNA", at positions 57 to 305 of the family's 1533-position model. The record is from RNAcentral.